UACGAAGGGGGCUAGCGUUGUUCGGAAUUACUGGGCGUAAAGCGCGCGUAGGCGGAUUGCUAAGUCAGGGGUGAAAUCCCGAGGCUCAACCUCGGAACUGCCUUUGAUACUGGCAAUCUUGAGUUCGGGAGAGGUGAGUGGAAUUCCUAGUGUAGAGGUGAAAUUCGUAGAUAUUAGGAAGAACACCAGUGGCGAAGGCGGCUCACUGGCCCGAUACUGACGCUGAGGUGAGAAAGUGUGGGGAGCAAACAGG
This 253-nucleotide ribosomal RNA is filed under the name uncultured bacterium. RNAcentral's name for it is "partial 16S ribosomal RNA". It matches the Rfam family "Bacterial small subunit ribosomal RNA", at positions 524 to 776 of the family's 1533-position model. The record is from RNAcentral.